UGUAUUUUGCAUCAGCUGUCAUUGUGGGACUUGCUACCUUUCUAGCAUUCGUCGAUUUCACGAUUGCAAAGCCUGAACCAGAACCAAGUCAUGGACAUAAUGUCUCGUAAUAAUCUCUUCUCUUCUUAAUUGAAGGAUAAAUAUCCCUAGGAUCUACCGCAAUGGAAGCUGCACUUGUGUUAUGAUCAAGAGAAAUAAAAUUGUAUAAACAUAAAAA
Molecule: long non-coding RNA, 217 nt
Organism: Macrosteles quadrilineatus (aster leafhopper)
Lineage: Eukaryota; Metazoa; Arthropoda; Insecta; Hemiptera; Cicadellidae
Exons: 2
Source: RefSeq, a predicted model, not a curated record